UGCGGGCGAGUGGAGCAGCCCGCGUCGCCAGUCGGACCAUCCCCCGGAUGGUCCUUGGUGGCUCCGCCUCGUCAGGCUCAUAACCUGAAGGUCGCAGGUUCAAAUCCUGCCCCCGCAACCA
Molecule: transfer RNA, 121 nt
Filed under: Sphingomonadaceae bacterium
Lineage: Bacteria; Pseudomonadati; Pseudomonadota; Alphaproteobacteria; Sphingomonadales; Sphingomonadaceae
Description: tRNA-Met
Rfam family: tRNA (bases 52-118)
About the family: Transfer RNA (tRNA) molecules are approximately 80 nucleotides in length.
Source: RNAcentral